Molecule: ribosomal RNA, 253 nt
Filed under: uncultured bacterium
Lineage: Bacteria
Description: partial 16S ribosomal RNA
Rfam family: Bacterial small subunit ribosomal RNA
Source: RNAcentral
GACAGAGGGUGCAAGCGUUAAUCGGAAUUACUGGGCGUAAAGCGCACGUAGGUGGAUUAUUAAGUUGGAUGUGAAAUCCCUGGGCUUAACCUAGGAAUUGCAUUCAAAACUGCUAGUCUAGAGUACAGUAGAGGGAAGUGGAAUUUCCGGUGUAGCGGUGAAAUGCGUAGAUAUCGGAAAGAACAUCAGUGGCGAAGGCGACUUCCUGGACUGAUACUGACACUGAGGUGCGAAAGCGUGGGGAGCAAACAGG